This 450-nucleotide ribosomal RNA is filed under the name uncultured bacterium. RNAcentral's name for it is "partial 16S ribosomal RNA". It matches the Rfam family "Bacterial small subunit ribosomal RNA", at positions 338 to 795 of the family's 1533-position model. The record is from RNAcentral.
CCUACGGGGGGCUGCAGUGGGGAAUUUUGCGCAAUGGGCGAAAGCCUGACGCAGCAACGCCGCGUGGGUGAUGAAGGUCUUCGGAUCGUAAAACCCUGUCGUUGGGGACGAAGGUGGGGGCGUUAAUAGCGUUUCUGCUUGACGGUACCCGGAGAGGAAGCCCCGGCUAACUCUGUGCCAGCAGCCGCGGUCAUACAGAGGGGGCAAGUGUUAUUCGGAGGGCGUGUGGGUAGUGGGCUAAGUCACAUGUGUAAUCCCCGAGCUCAACUUGGUAACUGCAUCUGAGACUGGAAGGCUAGAGUACUGGAGAGGGUGGUGGAAUUCCUCGUGUAGCGGUGAAAUGCGUAGAGAUGAGGAGGAACACCAGUGGCGAAGGCGGCCACCUGGACAGUAACUGACGCUGAGGCGCGAAAGUGUGGGUAGCAAACAGGAUUAGAUACCCUGGUAGUC